UACGAGAGGUCUCAAGCGUUGUUCGGAUUCAUUGGGCGUAAAGGGCUCGUAGGCGGCCAACUAAGUCGGAUGUGAAAUCCCCAAGCUUAACUUGGGAACUGCAUCCGAUACUGGAUGGCUUGAAUCCGGGAGAGGGAUGGCAGAAUUCCAGGUGUAGCGGUGAAAUGCGCAGAUAUCAGGAGGAACACCGGUGGCGAAGGCGGGUCUCUGGGCCGAUACUGACGCUGAGGAGCGAAAGCGUGGGGAGCGAACAGG
RNAcentral lists this ribosomal RNA (255 nucleotides) under uncultured bacterium. RNAcentral's name for it is "partial 16S ribosomal RNA". It matches the Rfam family "Bacterial small subunit ribosomal RNA", at positions 524 to 776 of the family's 1533-position model. The record is from RNAcentral.